Molecule: long non-coding RNA, 40678 nt
Filed under: Phaseolus vulgaris (common bean)
Lineage: Eukaryota; Viridiplantae; Streptophyta; Magnoliopsida; Fabales; Fabaceae
Description: long non-coding RNA (PVUL_LNC004533)
Source: RNAcentral
CCACACCCUCAACUUUCCACUCACGAGUUGAUAAGUGUUACAACAAAAUAUAAACUAAUGUAAAACACUAAACCAAAUAAAUAUAUUUUCAAUCCUAAUAUUCACAAUGUUAUGACCUUCACUUUUAUAUAUAUAUAUACUACAAGAAAAUCAUCAAAUAGAAACUAAUUUUUAGAGAUCAAAAUAAUUAGUUGAAAUAGUAACUAAAUUGGAGACCAUUUUAAAAACUAAAAAAAAUUGAUUUCUAAAUUAGUAACUAAUUAUUUUUUGUCUCUAAAAUUGGUUUUUAUUUCAUAAUUUUUUUAUAGUAAUAUAUAUAUAUAUAUAUAUAUAUAUAUAUAUAAUCACAAAUUUAUUUGAGUCAUCUAUCUUAAAGAACUUAAUAAAAAGUUUGAGGACUCAAAAAAUUUAACAAAUAAAAAGUAGAAUCACACUUCUACCCAAUACAAGAAAAUUAUUAAUUAAAAACUAGUUUAAGAUAAAAAAAUAAUUAGUGAUUAUAUUACUAAAAUAAAUAUUAUUUUAUAGACUAAAAAAUUAUUGAUAUCUAAAGUAGUUUUUAUUAUUAUAAAAAAUUAUAAAUUAAUUUUUAAAUUGGUAUCUAAUUAUUUAAUUAAUUUAAUUAGCUAACAUUUUUAGAACCUAAAAUAGUUGAUAACUAAUUAGAUACCAAUUUUAGAAUUUAAAGUAAUUGAUAGCUAAUUAGAUACUAAUUUAAAAUCUAGUUUAUAAAUUUUUAUUAAUAAUAAAAACUACUUUAAAUAUUAAUAAUAUUUUAAUCUAUAAAAUAAUAUUUAAUUUAAUCAAUAUAUAAUUAAUUAUUUUUAAUUAUAAAAUUAUUUUAUUUAAUAAUUAUACUGUAUUGACCAUAUACAUGUAAAUCUAAAGUGAAUAAAUAGAAUAGUAACUACAAACUCUGCAUAUGAAGAUUUAUUAAUAUUAAAAUAAAAAGUGGAACUUUUAAUAUAUUCUUCAUUGUUUCCUCUAAAAGUCACUAUAAUAUAAUCAAGACAAUCUCUAACAUUACCAUCACUAUUGACAAAUAAAUUAACUUAUUAGUAAUUAGUUCGUCAAUUUAAUAACUAUAUAUAGAAGAGAGAAAAGUAAAAUUUCAUUUAAGAGUGGAGUUGAUUGUAGAAAUUAAAUUACGUAUAAAGUUAAGGGAGGGAUAUCUAUUAUUUUUUAAUAUGAAUUGUAAUUUUAACUUGAGAUCUUCCUGUCUAGUUAAGUAAUUAAUAAGUAGAAAGCUUUAUUAAAAAAUAUAUUGAAGUUGUAUUAGAAAUUUUAGAAAAGUGGAUCCAAGUAAAUAACUUUCACUUUUAAAUUUUUUUACUAGGUAUUUUUCUGUAAUUUAUAUAUUUAAUCUCUUGCAAACGUAACAACUAUGAUUGAAUUGAAGUUUGAAAAACAUUUUUCUGAAUUUUAUGAUUAUAUGGUAAUGUCACAUUCGAGGAUUACAUAAAAUAACGUAACGUGCAACAUGAAACACGAUUGUUCUAACACAACUUUCAUCCAUUCAAUUUAUUUCUUAUAUAAAUAAUUUUAAAAUUAAAAUUAAUAAAAUUUCAUGGUUACCUAACAUUUGUCUAGUUUGUCUGAAAAAAAAUGUCCAACAAUAAAUUAAACUGGGCAAAAUAUAAUCUGUCCAUUGAAAUUCUUAAAAUAUUAAAUACAGAUUUUUGUAUUAUUUUGUCACUCUAAACUUUUGAACUUUAAAGAUAUAUAUUUUAGGUGUUUCAAAAAUUUAUACAUAUUGAUCUUUAAUGGUAAUAACACUAGAUGGAAAAAAAUUGUACAGAUGAUGGUCUUAAUAGUGUUGAUUAUUAUAUUUAAUAAAAAAAGUGUGAUAAAGUUGUCAUGUAUAUAAGUUUAUUUUUGUCGUUAGUACUAAUGAAAUCUAAAAGGUAUGUUUAAAUUUCAAAGGAAUCAAAAUAAUAUAAUUUUUUAUAAAAGUAUUUAGUGUAAUUAAAUUUUAAUAUCUCGAUUAGAGAUUAAGAUAUUUCAUUUUAUAGUAUAUAAGCGGGUGUAACUUCAUAAGCUGAUUUGGUUUAAACUUAAAGUUCACUUUUUAAUAUGAUAUAAGAUCCAUUUAAAGUCGAACUUAACUAGAGAUUUUGUUAGUCUUACCAAACCAUCUACUAUCGGAUCGUUAUUGGAUCAUAUAUAAAUAUAUAGUCUCAUACACAAACAGUCACUCUCCGCGUGAGAAAAUGUGUUAGAAAAUUCACAUAGAUUAAGUGCAAACAUUACCUUAUAAGUCGAUUUAAGUGCAAAAAUUACCUUGUAAGUCGAUUUUAUGAGUUAGAUUUGAAAUUAUUUUUCAAUAUUCAUAUAAAUUAUUUUUUUAAGAAUUAAUAUUAAACAAGCAGUAAAAAAAUAAUUAUUAUAAAAAUAUUAAAAAUAACCAUUUAUCUAAAAAUAUAUAAACUAAAAACACUCUUUUCGCAAGAAUAAAUAUGACAGACAAUGCCAUUAUUAGAAUUUAGAACACACAUGAAGGGGUUGGAGAAUAAUUUAUUAACGUCUGGAGCAGCAGCACCUAGAAGCAUUAAAUAUUCAUAAUUAUUUGUAGUAACAACUAUUUUUAAUUUUAUUGUUCUUUGAUUAUUAUUCCACUACAACAGAAUUGAUAACCGAUAACAGUUUUAAAACUUACUUAGCAACUGUUAAAACUAUGGUCAUAAAACUACAUAGUGAAUUUGUAGGCUAUGAUGAGUUUAUAUGUCUAUUUGUUGGUUGCGGCUCAACCCAACAUGUAAAUUCGUUUUUGAGCUAAACUCGAUUUGGUGAACUUGAUAUUAAGCACGUAAAAUAAAAUAAAAUAAAAAGCACCAUACUAUUAAAAUCACAAAUGAUAAUAGAAUGUUAAAAAAAAAUGUUAACUCUUAGUAAUUAACAAAUAGGUUGAGAAUCAUGUUGCCCCAACAGGAAGAAAAUGUUCUGUAGGAAGUGUAAGAGAAAAAAAAAAAUAAUGUAACAUGAAUACUUUUUUUGUGUUGUUAAAUUUAAAUGAAAAUCACAGGAACUUAUAUGUAAUCGAGAACUAUGUUUAAUCAAUUAUCUUUUUUAAACCUAUUAUUUGAUUACUUAUUUUUAAAAUUUAUCUCAAUUUAUUACAAGAAAAAUAUUAUAAUAAGUUAUUUAUAAAUAUUUUCAUCCAUAUAAUUUUGCACUUUAUAUGCAUAUAAAUGAUUUCAAGUUAACUAUUAAUAAUAAAUUAGUUGUAUUAUAAAUAAAAAACAUUAUAGUAUAUUUAUUUUCAAUUUAAUUUUUAUAAAUAAUUUAAUUCUUAUGUUUUUAAAAUAAAAUAGCUUUUUUUUUCAAAAAAAAAGGUUCUUAUACUGAUAAUCAUUUAAAUUAAAAUCUGUUUCUUGUUUGAUUCUUUUGAAAAUAUCAGUCAUGCCAAUGUGAUAAUAUCCAAAUUUUAUAUAAUUUUUCAGUUAUAUGUUUUUUUCUAGUUAUAAUUGUUUUGUAAGUUUUUUUUAUUUAUUUCAGAAACUAAUAAAAUUUAUUUUAAAUAAUAAAGAUUCUCACAUGAUAAAUAAAAACUUCAAAUAAAAUCUAAGGUCAUUGUUUAACAAAAUUUACAACCAGAGCAAAUCACAUUUCUUAUAUAAGGAAUGAAGUUAGUGUAAACAUUUCCAAAAAUGCUUAUGACCAGUUAAACAAAUUUUAAUUAUUUUUAAGAAAAUGAUUCCGAUAUUCAUGUUUUCCAAGAGUCUACAUAUGAGGUAGUGACAGAAUUGUCAUUCUACUACAUAUAAGCUCAUAAUGGACCUACUCUUUACAAAGCAGAAUUGAACAACUGCACAACAAAAAUAAAUCUUUUCCACUGCAUAGCAACUGCAAAACAUAUCAAUUGCAGAAUAAAUCAUAAUCAACUGCAUAACAAAAUAAAUCUUUCCAUAAUAUUGAAAUUUACUGUAUUUUUCACCUACUACUUCAAAUCUAAAAUCAUCAUCUACUGAAAUAUUUCAAAACAAGCUCCUGGAUUGUAAAACAACACCCACUAGUAAUCCACUGCCAAGAGUAGAGCUUAAAAUAUUUCAACCAUUUUCCACUUCCCUCCGAAUGUUGAAAACAUUUGAGAAUUUUGGGCCAACCCUAUUGACCACCAAACAAUAGAAAACUAUAUAACAUGCCACCUGAUUCUAUUAUCUGAAUCACAAUUAAGAAAUCCCAAACUUCUAUUGCUCCAUCAACUCAAGCACUAAACUCACCUGGAGAAGAAUUCACAUUCAAAAUACAAGUGAACUAGAGUUUUGACUUCCUUAUAAGGUACCUCUAGACAUGACUUCAAUGGUUGGAGUAAUACCUCUAUAUGCUUGUUCUUAAGGGAGAAAUCAAUCUUGAGCUAGCUUCCAAAUACAAGAUUGAACCUUGAGUAAGUGUCAUAGAACCUUAUCCAGCCUAAAUUUCGAUAAUAGAACCUUAUAUGCGAUUUAACCAAGUAAGUGUGUCUAUGUAAUAAAUAAAUCAUUUUCAUGAAAGUUGAAACUUUAUAAAAUGAACUCAAAUUUAAACCAUUCAUUGACGCUGGCUUCAUAUAUUGGAGCUUAUUGCGGAAAAUCCUUAUUACUAUAUGACUUUAGAGGAGUUUUACAGUGUAAUUACAAGAUAGAAUACUGACAUAAAGUCUCCAUAAGAUUCAAGUUUUGAUAUGACCAUCCUAAAUCAUCCUCUGAAUGUUGUCAGUAAAAUUAACCAUAGUUUCAAGACUGUUAUCAUCUGCAACAAUGAAGCACCAAAUUAAAAUCACAGAUUUUCAGAGUUGAGACACAUUAUAUGCACAAAACUAAUAUUCAAAUGCGUCCUGGCACCAGUCAUAGUUAGUUACAAUGAAAGAUCUACAAUUUAAAGUAGGAGACACCACUAACCAAGUUUGGGGACUGUAUGCCCUCUGGGGUGAUGAAUCACAACAGGAUUCUGGAAUGCUCCCAACAAAGCAACGCUCUCUUCCUUCAUGAAAUCUUUCUCCCCUUCACCACAUAAUAAGAAUAGAAGAUACAAUACAACUUUCAAAGUUAAAUGUAAAGGAAAAUUUGCUUAAGCAGAAUCACAUAUGAGGGACUUGAAAUUACCAAUAAUGUGAAGAGAUAAGCAAUCAAUUGGUUUUGAAAAUGCAUUAGAAGCCAAUUUAGGCAUUCCAAACUUGUUUCCACCAAACUUGGCACCAGAUAUCACAAUCAAAAACUUGAUCUUGUCUACCUUCCCAAGUGCUACACCCUAUAAAAGUCAUCAUUCCCUUUAGUGAAAUCAAAUGCAGUUUUAACUAAUUUAGCCUACUUAGAGCAUCUCUAAUGCCGCUGUUUACAAAAGUUGCUUAAAAUGAAUAGCAUUGCUCAACAAAAAUUGACAUAUAAGAAACAUAAACUAUUUUUAUUUUAAAAAAAUGUACAUUUUCAAGUUAACAAUCAUCGUCAAGACAAAGAAACAAAGCUAUACACCCAUUUAAAAACUUUAGCAUUAGAGUUAAAACUCAAGUAUUCAUUCUUUGACAAUUUAAGAAAUAAAACCGUAUAAGCAAACCAUGCUUCAUGCUUCGUAGAUACUCAUUGAAAACUCAAAUAUUCAUUCAUUCUUUCACCAAAAGGGCAUCAUCAAGGAAGGAAAGAUGAACUUAAUAUAUAAAAGAGAAAGUGUAAACAGUAAUAAGAUGAGUUUCUUGUUCAGUACCUGCGCUUGCAUUCCUGGCAAUGCAGCCGCUAAAAUUGCUCCCUGAGAGACAACAUUCCUUAUGUGUCAAAAUUGUAUAAACAAAAGAUUACAAAAAGUUCACAAAUAACAUUGUAGCAGCAAAGUCCGCACCUGAGAGAAACCCAAUACACCAUCGAAAGGACCAUUUUUGAGCAUGUAAUCUUCUAUGUAUGCUAAACAGGCUUCGAAGUUUCUAUACUCAGAGAAGUCCUGUACAUGAAAAGAUAAACGUUAGCAGCAUACUAGGAUAAUGUCGGUGGUGGGGAUUACUAAGAUGGACAGUCUUGUCUCUACAACAACCUCAUUGGCUUGGAACCAUUCAUAGUAAGGAGGAUCGAAAAUGCCUUCAACGUCAGAUCUUCCCUGCGCGGGAAAUUGGCCAUCGAGGAACACGAGGUCCAAUUUUUGUAUCACUGGUUCUGGCCAUCUUAAGACUAGCUGCUUGAGGAUUUCGCCACUGGUUCUGAAUCCGUGGAGACACAGGAUUCUGGGUUUUCUCUGGGUUUGGUCUUCUUCCAUAAUGCUCAAACUUUGACAGCAGAUUAUUGCUCAGGGUGCUUUCAUGAAAUCAAAAUGAAAAUUAGUACCAAUUUCUUUAGAUUUGGGCAAAAUGUAAGGGCCGGCGCCGCCGAACCCAUCAUUUAAUAAAAUUGUAAAACAUUGUAAUUUUUAGAUUUCAUCUUAUAAAAUCAACUCAAUCUAAAUAAAUAAAUAUAUUUCAAAUUUAAAUUAUAUUAUUAUAAUUAAUUUUAAUUUGAAAUAUAAUAAUUUAAUAUAGAAAUUAUAAUGCAUAUAUAUGUUUAAAUAAAAUAACAUUAUUUUUAUAUUUUAAAUAAUUAUUAUUAUUUUAUAAAAAGAUUAUGUAUAAGGCUAUUUAUAGGCCGAACCUGUUUAAAUAUAUUACAAAAAUAAUUCAGUUUAAUUUAUAUUAUAAUUUUUUGUAAUUGAACCGUUUGAUUAUGUAGUUUUUUCAUGUGUUAGCUACAAGACACUAGUCUAUUUCAGCACAAAUAAAAAUAAUUUAUAUAUCACUCAAAGGAUAGUUCUCGUAAUUUAUUCUCAUGAAAGGUGUUUCCGUCUGUUGACUCGAACAAUAGUCUUUGUCCCUCCUAACUCCGUCUGAGAAUUGAACUUUCUUGAUCGAAGAAUCUCUCACCUGCAAAGACAAAGGGCGUCUUGACGGUCGUUUGCACUCCAACGCUCAAGUCAGUAUAAGGGCAAAGAAAGACCAAGUGUAUAAAGUAGUUUCAGUCUUAGAAAUUGUGUACCUUGCUAGGAUUCUUAGCACCCUUUAUAUAGGUUGAAACUAGGGUUUACCUUCGCUCAUUUACCCAUAUCUAGGGUUCCUUCGAGAAUGUCCCUACGCCGCUAUUACAUAAUCUUAGCGUAAUCUGAUACAUUGAACUUCCCUUAACUGGAGUGCAACGACUAACAGAAUGGUCAUCUGGGUACCAACUUGUGCACCUAAUCUCUGGGGCCAUCUAUUACGCGGGUGUCUUAAGUAUUCACGUGUCAUGCAUGCAGCUCCCUUCGGAAACCCUAACCCUAAUGGGCCUUAGCGCCUCCAAGGACUGUUUACUCGUGUCGCGCCUGAAUGCACUAUACACACCACCUGCAUGGAUCCCUCGUGACUUAGGUUUUCCUUAUAUCUGUCGUUUUAACUGAUAACUUAGUAUAAUUCUAGGGUCCACCUUACGUGGUCAUAUAUAACUGUUCUGACCGUCAACAUCCGAUCUCUUCCUAUUCUGGCAAGGUCUGAUAUCGAUCUCCAACUUCGAGGUCUAUGGUACUAGUGUCCGAACGCUGACCCACACCCUGAUAUGCGUAUCUGGGACCCACCUUGUGUGGCCCAUCUUUGCUAUCAGGCACCGAUGCGCGACGUCUGAGAUCAGUCUCUGAAGUCGAUGACCGAUGACUGGUCGAUACAAAAAGAAAAAUAAAUUAUUAACAUGUAGCAUGAUUAAUCCGGUUAUAAAAAAAAAUCCCAUAAAUUGUUACAUGCUAAUAUUUUUUUUAAAAAUUAUGAAAUUGUCAUGAAUGUUAUAUCCUCAUUUAUUUUUUAAAAAAAAUUCCUUACAUAGAAGUAGGCCAUUCAAUUCUAUAUAUAUAUUUGAAAUUUGUAGUAUAUGUUGGUUAUUAAUUCAGAUUUUAUUAUUAUUAAUUCUGAUUUUAUUACCCUUAAACUAUUUUACCGUUAUAUUGCAUUAAUGGUCAGUUUACAGGCCUGUUAGUAUUCUUAUUUUAUAGCUUCCAGUAAUUGUAAUUUUAUUAUAUAUAUAUAUAUAUAUAUAUAUAUAUUAUAUAUAGUNNNNNNNNNNNNNNNNNNNNNNNNNNNNNNNNNNNNNNNNNNNNNNNNNNNNNNNNNNNNNNNNNNNNNNNNNNNNNNNNNNNNNNNNNNNNNNNNNNNNUUACGUUCAAUAGUUGCUACAACCUUUUGCCUUCUCUUAUUUCCUUCAAUUAAUUCCUACAACUGGUAUCAGAGUCAGUCUGUUAUCAUAAACUCUACCCAAUUAUCAGUCCCUAUCCUUGAUGGAAAAAAUUACAAUCGGUGGUGUGUGCAGAUGAAAGUUUUGUUUGAUUAUCAUGAGUUAUGGGAUGUCGUUGAGAGUGGAGUGUUUGCAUUAGCUGCUAAUGCAACUGAGGCACAACGAGUAGCGCAUCGUGAUCAGAAGAAGAAGAAGGACAAUAAGACUUUGUAUCUCAUCCAUCAAGGGAUGAAUGACGAGACGUUUGAGCAGAUAGAAUGAGCAACAACUGCCAAUGAGGCUUGGACAAUUUUGUCAACCAAUUAUAAAGGUGAUGAUAAGAUCAAAAGGCUGCGUCUUCAAACCCUAAGACGCCAAUAUGAAUUGUUGCAGAUGGAAAUCACAGAGACUAUUUAUGUCUAUAUAAAUAAAGUUCUUGCCUUCACAAAUCAGAUGAAGACCAAUGGUGAAACACAUUCGGAGCAGGCAAAGGUGGAAAAGAUUUUGAGAUCUUUAACUCCCAGAUUUGAACAUGUUGUUGCCGCAAUUGAAGAGGCCAAUGACAUUUCAAAAAUGACAGUAAGGUUAUUGUUUGGUUCUCUACGAGCGCAUGAGCAGCGGAUGAAUGACAAUAAGAUUGAAAAACCAAUUGAACAGGCUUUAGAAGCACAAGCCUCAAUUGGUAGCUCCUAUAAUAAACAUGGUAGCUAUUUCAGCAAAGGUCGUGGUGGCUAGAAUCAUGGAGGCGCUUGGCGCGGGGAACGUGGUCGCGGAGGACGAGGAGACAUUUAUAAUAAAUCAAAUGUUGAGUGUUAUAAUUUCCAUAAACGUGACCAUUAUGCAAAUGAGUGCAGAUCAAAAGGUGAUAAUCAUGCUUCCAAUUGUGCUCAAGAAGAUAGUAAUCACGAACAAGAUGAAGAGGACCAUGAAGUAUUAAUGACAACCACAUCAAAUGAAACUCCAAACAACCAGACUUGGUAUUUGGAUACAGGUUGCACGAAUCAUAUGUGUGGUCAGAAGGAGCUGUUUGCAGAUUUGAAUGACUCAUUUCGCACAAAAGUGAAAUUCGGUGAUGGCAAGUUCAUUCCAGUGAUUGGAAAAGGGCAAAUUCUUAUUACAUUGAAGAAUGGUGAUCACAGGUACAACUAUGAUGUUUUCUAUGUACCUGACAUGAAAAGUAAUCUAUUGAGUGUGGGACAACUGGCCGAAAAGGGUUACGUGAUGCACAUAGUUGAAAAUAAAUCUCAAUUUUUUAUAAAAAAAAGGUAAUUUGAUUCUUAAAAUCUUUUUAUCAAAAAACUGCAUGUUUCCAGUAGAUAUUCAUAUGGGUGAUUUCAAGUGCCUGAAUGCAAUAGUGAAUAAUGAAUCGUGGUUAUGGCAUUUACGCUUUGGGCACUUAAAUUUUCAGAGUUUGAAAAAUCUUUCCAAAAGAAAUUUAGGCUUUGUUUGGAUUAGGGAGUGGAAAUGAGGGAGUGGAUUUGAGAUGAUUUGAAGAGAAACUGUAAAGAAAGUUAGGGUGUUUGGAUUAAGGUAAAGAGAGGGGAAAGUGUAGGGAAAGUUUAUAAAAGUUUGUGAGUGAUGUGAUGGAUGUGAUUGAAAUUGUAUUUUUUUUAAUUGAUAAAAAUGUAACUUUACACAUUUGCCCUUAUAUUUAAAAAAUGAUAAAAAAAAUUAUUUUGAUUGAUUAUUUGUGAAUUACAUUUUUUUUAAAUUAAAAUUAUUUUUUCGACAAUUGAAACAUUAUUUUUGAUACCGUGUUCGAGCUAACUUCGGAAAAUUAUAAAUUAUAUAAAUUUUUUGGAUCAUAUUUAUGAUUGAUAAACAUUAUUGAGAACAAAGUUGUAAUUGUGAAUUAUUUAUUUUUCAAUUAUAGUUGUAUGCAAUUAAAAGAUUAUUUUCGGUAUGGAACAAAUUAUUUCUCAUAAUGUGUUGGAUGUAUAAUUCGAUAAAGGAUUUUUUUUUUAAGAAAUAAAUAUUAAUGUGUAUUAAUGCAGUAUUUUAGUUUAUUAAAGCAAAAUUCAUUGAUAAAUUUUGUGCAUAAUAAUAAUGAUUCAGAAAAUCAUAUGAAUGAUACAAUGAAAUAUGUUUCAUUCAAAAUAGUCAUGGAAGUCCUUAAUUUGUUUAGGGAUUCGUGUCAUUAAUAAGAUUACAGAUUCGAAAAGAAAAACACAUAUGCAUAAUAAAGUACAACCAAAUUUUUACGUAGUUUAGGGAUUUGUAGUCAUUAUCUUGACCAGCUUUCUCAUUCUUCGCUCAAGAGGCAGGCCAAAGAGUUGUUUUACCGCAUUAGGAUGACCACACAAGAAGUCGUAACAAUUAUCUAACAAAUCUCCAUCUUGUAUGUUCAUCUCCACUAACAUUUCCCAGAUGUCAUAUUCAGAGUACUGGAAAGUCGAUGUACGAGGAAGUGUGCGCGUGUGUUCACGAAAUAUGGAGUUUCGUUCUUCUUCUGCAACAACAUGGCGUCUGUUAUAUUGCAGAUUUUCUUCCGUAGCAUUAGCCACUCGCUGUGAUGACAAAGCGACAACCUUAGAUGAAAUGGCUUGUCGCUCAGCAAUAUGACAUAACCUAUCUGACUGAUCAGUACCCCUCCCAAGGAUAUCAGUUAAUCCUUCAAACCUUGUGUUAAGCCUUUCCAGUUGCAGAUCAAUGACGUCCACCAUAGGGGCUUUUCUUUUUGAGCCUCUAGAAGAAGAAGUACCACCUGAUGGCUGGGAUGACUGAGGUGGCACCAAUGGGGGUGUCAAAUUAGGGUCAGGGCUGUAUGAAUCAACAUUAGGAUCAGCUGAGCGAGGAGUUUCACAUUGAGUAGCAUCCAAUCCUGGCUCCUCUAGGAUGUCCUCCAUAUUGUGAUCAUUAAGAUCUACAUUAAAAUGAUGAGACUGAGUUCGAUUUGAGGACUGCAAUGUUGUUCUUCCACCGUGGCCAGUAGCACGAUCAAGCCCCCAAAGUCUUCCAUCAACUUGUAGUGCCUGAUGGGAUUAACACGCCAUUUUGCGGUCGAGGGCUUUGCCUGUUCAUUAAUGAAAAGAAAUACACUCAUAAUCAUAAUUAGUGGUUAAUGUAUGCGAUAAGUGAACAUCAAGUUGAAUAUGUUACCUUUAUCAACGAAUCUCACACUUCAUCCUCGGCCUCGAAAAUUUUCGUGCUUGGAUUCCAAGCAAAACCACUCAGUCCACUAAAUAGAUCAUGGAUCUCACGCCAUUUGUCCUUAAGGCUUUUCUGCCUGUUCUUCACAUUAUUUUUUGUAAUCCCUACCAAUCCAGUCUGAUGUAAGGAUUUAACAAUGUUUGUGUAACCCUGCGUCGUCCAACUACCAUCAAUGCGGUUACCCAUAGAUGCCUCAUCGAUCAUGGCAUUCAGCAAUCGGAAAUCCAUGUCGGUAGUCCAUUUUUUGUGUUCACGGACAACUGCAGAUGACUCUGAAGCAAUACCCUUCCCGUGAUCCAUGAUAAAACCUAAUAAAAAAGGUUAAAACUUUAGUACAAUAACNNNNNNNNNNNNNNNNNNNNNNNNNNNNNNNNNNNNNNNNNNNNNNNNNNNNNNNNNNNNNNNNNNNNNNNNNNNNNNNNNNNNNNNNNNNNNNNNNNNNUCAUACGUAAAUAUUAAUAAAGGUGGAAUGUCAACAUUAAACCAUGAAAUUGUUCUUACAACAAUAUAAAUAUAAGUUCACGGAUGUUACAUAAAAUUAAUUAUUACAAUAACCUUUCCACAUUUCAUUCGCUAUAGUAUCCCUAAUUUGUGACCCGAGCCUGUAGUCAUCCUCACGAGUUUGCGAGUGUGACACAUCUAUAUCUCCUUGCAUCAACUCACGGUCAACUUCUUCCAACAAAGAGUCAUCAUUAUCCACCCCGCGAAGAAAGUUAUGAAGAAUACAACAUGCUAAAACAAUAUCGGUCAUAGUGUCCACAGAGUAAUGAGGCUCUGUUCCGCUAAUGAUAAUUGGAAAUCGCUUUUUGAGGACACCAAAUGUUCUUUCGAUAACAUUUCUUAGUGAGGAAUGACGAUGAUUAAAUAACUCACGGGCAUUUUGUGGACCUCUUCGGGAAUACUCUUUUAGAUGGUAUCGAACUCCGCGAUAUGGAGUUAUAACUUGGGUUUUGAGCAUAAAACCCGCAUCUCCAAGGUAGUAUUUGCCUACAACCAUCCAUUAAUAAUUGUUACUUAUAAGUGAAUUUCAUGUCAAAAUCANNNNNNNNNNNNNNNNNNNNNNNNNNNNNNNNNNNNNNNNNNNNNNNNNNNNNNNNNNNNNNNNNNNNNNNNNNNNNNNNNNNNNNNNNNNNNNNNNNNNNNNNNNNNNNNNNNNNNNNNNNNNNNNNNNNNNNNNNNNNNNNNNNNNNNNNNNNNNNNNNNNNNNNNNNNNNNNNNNNNNNNNNNNNNNNNNNNNNNNNNNNNNNNNNNNNNNNNNNNUCGAUUGUUGUUUAAGAUAUGAGGUUCAACCUCAGUCCCAGCUGGUUGAAUUAAGAACUCUCCAUGCAUCAUCAAUAUUGCUUUCAAAACAUUAUGAAAGUGACGAGACACUGUUUCCCCGGACCGAUGAAAGAAGAACGAAACACUUCGAUUCUUGACGUUAUAACCAAUGAUGUGUAAAAAUUUAGCCACUUGUUCUUCAACUAUAGAUCGAAAUGCAUCUUUAACCAUAUCCGUUCCUCUUAUUCGUUGACAUAAAUUAAUAAAUGCUUCCGGACUCAUGCGAAUAAUGUCACGACAUCUUUCAGUAUGGACCAAGUACGACAUCAAUUCUUGUCGACGACGCUCUUUUUGUGGAAUAAACUCCGGUAUAGGAUUAUUUGUCUCGGUUAACACACGCAAUACGUUCAAUCCAUAUCCAAUCAUGCAAAGAAUUGUCAUUGCUGCUACUUAUGUCCGCAAAUUGAUUUGCUCUUGUAUUUGUGAAACUAGUGUGAAAUCAACACCAACUACAUCGGGAUUCAUGUCAUUCGUGCUAGACAUCUCGACAUUUUUGAAAUACAUAGACCAAUGGUUAUCGUUAUCCAUGGUCACAAAUCCUUGACAAUCAUAUAAGUUUAACUAUUAGGUCUAAAGAACCACCUUUUAGAGAAAUAAUAAUACUCAAUUUUUUUUACUUUUAAAAAAAAUUAAAAUAUUAUAUAUAAACUCUGUAAAGUGUUAUAAUUAUAGUUGUAUUACAAAUUCAAAAUAAUAUUUAUAAAUUUUUUUUUACUUGAUUUUAGGAAAAAAUAAAUAUUAUAUAUAAACUCUGUAAAGUGGUAUAGUUAUAGUUGUAUUAUAAAUUCAGAAUAAUAUUUAUAAAAUUCUUUUACUUGAUUUUAGAAAAAAUAAAAUCUUAUAUGUAGACUAUCUAUAAAGUAAUAUUUUAAAAUAUUUAAAUACUUUGUAUACUUAUAAUUAUUUUAUAAAUUCAGAAUAAUAUUUAUAAAAUUCUUUUACUUGAUUUUAGAAAAAAUAAAAUCUUAUAUGUAGACUAUCUAUAAAGUAAUAUUUUAAAAUAUUUAAAUACUUUAUAUACUUAUAAUUAUUUUAUAAAUUCAAAAUAAAAUUUAUAAAGUCUUUUAGCUGAUUUUGGAAAAAAAUAAAUAUUAUAUGUAAACUAUCUAUAAAGUAGUAUUUUAAAAUAUUUUGUAUACUUAUAAUUAUUUUAAAGCCUGUUCAAAAUAAUAUUUAUAAAGCUUUUUACCUGAUUUUAGGAAAAUUUAAAUAUUUAAAUAUUUUGUAUACUUAUAAUUAUUUUAUAAAUUUAAACUGAUAUUUAUAAAGUUUUUUACUUUAUUUUUAGAAAAAAAUAAAUAUCAGAAACAAUUUAAAUAUUAAUAAGUUUGUUUUAACUAUCAGAAAACUCAUUCAAACUUUCAUUAAUGCUCAUUAAUUCUCAUCAAUAUACUCAUCAAUGUGAUUAAGAAAAAACUUUGAAAACUCAAAAAGGCAGCAGCAUUCUAUUAAUUCUAUUAACAUAAAUAAAAUAAAUUACAAAUUCCUUCCCUCCACAUUUCAUUCUCAUAUUUUAUUCUCCAAAUUCCAAAUCUAUGUAUGAAACUUACCUCCAGAAACCUAGAGAAAACGAUGCCACCGCGAACCACCAACGACCACCGAGCACCACCAGCGGAACCACCACCCACCACCAGCAACGAAACCGUCCACGUCCAACGACCACCAACAACGCCGCCUACGGAACCCCACCCACACCUUGCACCUCCGACAACCGCACACCUCCAACACUUACGAACCUCCGACAACCGCUCACUUCCAACGGUUGUGAACCUCCGACAACCGCGCAUAUCCACCGCGUACCUCCGACGAGCACCUCCGACAACCGCGCACAUCCACUGUGUACCUCCGACGAGCACCUCCGACCGCUUCUAAGGGUACUCCCUCAACUCAAAACAAAUAACCCACCUCCACUCCUCUUCCAUAUUUAUCAUCUCUCUCAUUUAUUCAUCACCCACACACUUGAAUUUAUCCACCAAACAAUGUACGAAUCCCUGUUUGUGCUGUGUUUGUGUUGUGUUUAUGCAAGGAAUCUCAUGCGUGAGAAUGGAGAGAAUAUUGGAGUUGCAUGGCACGGGCAUAGGCAGCUAUGGCACAUAGGUUAGGUGAACGGAUGGGUAAUAUGGUAAAAUGAGAAAGUUUCUCUCCAAAUCUUCUCAUCUCAUCAGGGAAGCCUUUUUCCCUUUCUUUGCUUUUCUUCGCCCCCUAAUCCCCGCUAACUCCCAGAUACAAACAUCAGAUUUAUUUCCUUUUCAAUCCGGGUGAACAGUAAUCACCCGGAUACAAACACAGCAUUAGUGAAUGGUUUACCCCAUAUUCAUCACCCUGAUCAAUUGUGUGAGGCUUGCUUUUUGGAAAGAAUCAUAGGAUACCAUUUGUUAAGGAGCCUUGGCGUGCAAAAUUUCCUUUGGAGCUUGUUCAUACUGAUGUUUGUGGCCCGAUGAACAUAUCAUCAGUUGGAGGUAAUAAGUAUUUUUUAACCUUUAUUGAUGAUUUUUCAAGGAAAACCUGGAUUUUAUGUAUUGAAAAGCAAGGAUGAGGUAUUCCACUGCUUUAAAAUAUUAUAUUUAAAGCAUUUGUUGAAAGACAUAGUGGCAGACAAAUUAAGAUGGUGUGUAAUGAUGGAGGGGGUGAGUACAAGUCUAAUGAGUUCAAGAGGCAUUGUGAGGAACUUGGGUUGCAGCAUAACAUAACCUGUCCCUACACACCUCAACACAACGAAGUUGUUGAGAGAAAAAAUAGAACAAUCAUGGACACGGCGAGGAGCAUGCUUAAAGCAAAAGGUAUGCCAAAUUAUUUUUGGACUGAGGCCGUAACAUGUGCGGUAUAUUUGAUAAACAGAUCACCCACUCGGAGUGUUCCUAACACAACUCUGAUUGAGGCAUGAAGUGGAUUCAAACCCAAUGUGCAGCACUUGAAGGUAUUUGGGUCAAUUACUUAUGCUCAUGUUCCCAAGGCAGCAAGAUCGAAGUUGGAUGAUAAGGCAGAGAAGACCAUUUUCAUUGGAUAUAAGCAUGGGGAUACAAAUUGUACAAUCCAAUGACAAAGAAGGUGAUUGUUAGUCGUGAUGUUACAUUUGCCGAAGAUGAGGAAUGACAAUGGAAUGCAACAGUUGAAAUUGAUUCAAAAAAACGAUAUAUUUACGUUUUGAACGAUGAUGUGGAAGAUGGAGUCACUCUUAAAGCACCUACAGUUCAACCUGAAGCUGUAAUUCAACCUGAAAAUGCAACUCCAAUUGCAACUAUGAUGGAGCGACCAAGAAGGCAACAACGACAACCUGUACACCUUCAAGACUACGAAGUAAAUCUUGACGAUGAAGUUGAUGACAAUGGAGAUUUAGUUCACUUUGCUUUUGUUGCAGACUCAGAACCUGUGAGACUUGCCGAUGCCAUUCAACACCCCAAAUAGCAAAAGCCUAUGAAUGAAGAAUUGAUGGCGAUUGAGAAAAACAAUAUCAUGACUCAAAUUGGGAAGGAUGUUCCAAAUCAUAAUUAAGGGAGGAUGUUGGUUAUUAAUUCUGAUUUUAUUAUUAUUAAUUCUGAUUUUAUUACCUUAAACUAUUUUACCGUUAUAUUGCAUUAAUGGUCAGUUUAAUGGCAUGUUAGUAUUCCUAUUUUAUAUAGGUUCCAGUAAUUGUAAUUUUAUUAUAUAAAUGAUUGAGUAAAUUAAAAUGAAUAGAAUCAAUUUUACAAUUUCGUGCAAUUACGUUCAAUCAACAUCUAAUUUAAAAAACCAUUUUUGCAUAGGACGGAAAAUAGUUCGCGUCCUAUAAGCAAAGCUAAAUUUUAUUCUCACUAGUUUUAAACACUACAAAAAAAAACUUUUAUUAGAAAGGGCCAAAGGCGGACACUAAUCACAAAAAGCCCACGCAAAGAUGCAAUUAACGUGGGCUUUGCCUUCACACAACUUUGAAGCUAAUAUCCUUGUCGCAAAAAAACUGUCGGGUGCGUGGCGUCGCAAAAUGUUGGCUUGCGUGGGCUUUGCCUACAAGUUGCCAACACAAAAAAUUACAAAUGUUAACUUAAGCGGGGGCUUAGCCUUGGACAGAAAAUGAGGGCUUAGGCUUAGCUAGGGGGACAAUAAAAUUAGCGUGGGCUUAGCCUUGGAUAAGGGGACAAUAAAAGUAAAAAUAAAGCGUGGGCUUAGCCUUGGAUAGUGGGACAAUAAAAUUAGAAUAAAGCGAGGGCUUGACCUUGGUAAAGUGACAAUGAAAUUAGAAUGGGCUUAACCUUGGAUAUGUGGACACCUUUUUUUUUGUAUGCACUAUUUUUGGCAGCUAUUGAACUCCACUUUUAAAUAAAAGUUUGGAUUUUAAAUAUUAAAUAUUAAUAUUUUUUAAUUUGCUUUUUUUUUUGCAAUAGCAUUAAAAAGAAAAAAACAUCAAUGAAUUGAUAAGUUAAAAACUAAAAAACAAAAGUAAUGAAUAAAUUAUUAUAUUGAUGAAUAAAAAGUGUUUAAGCACCGGAAGAUGGACAUUAAUUAGUUAGCUUGGUUAUCUUAGUGAUUUCAUUAUUCUUCUUCUUAGGUUUAAGCUUUGUUGAAAUGCCUUCCAUUUGCGCUGCUUACUAGUUAUGUUUUAUCAAAACAUAUGCAAUGAAAAAACUAUCAUUUUAAUACAUUUAAGAAACAUUGUUCUAUAAUAAAUAUUUUUAUUAUAGAAAGUUAUGCACCCAACAGCUGGUUCUCUAGCUUAAGUUAUGCUUAAGUUAGUAAUUUAGCUGGAUGACCACAGUUGUGAAUGAGUAGUUUGAUAGGCUGGUUCUCUAGCUUCCAUGAUCAUCUUUUCUGGAUUCUAUGAAUAUAUUGUUUAUCAAGUUUCUCUGGACACAUAACAUAGUAUCUAAAAUUGGGGAUCGUACAACAACAACAAAGGUUUAAGGAUAGCUACAUACACAAACAUUUAAAUCAUAUGGUAUAACAUCUUGGCUCUUAUAUGUUAAAGAGAUGAUUAUAUUCAAAAUUGUAUAUUGAUCACACAGAAUCCUCUAUGGAGUUACUAAUUAAAUUGCAGAUGUCACUGCAUAUACCCUAAAAGAGNNNNNNNNNNNNNNNNNNNNNNNNNNNNNNNNNNNNNNNNNNNNNNNNNNNNNNNNNNNNNNNNNNNNNNNNNNNNNNNNNNNNNNNNNNNNNNNNNNNNNNNNNNNNNNNNNNNNNNNNNNNNNNNNNNNNNNNNNNNNNNNNNNNNNNNNNNNNNNNNNNNNNNNNNNNNNNNNNNNNNNNNNNNNNNNNNNNNNNNNNNNNNNNNNNNNNNNNNNNNNNNNNNNNNNNNNNNNNNNNNNNNNNNNNNNNNNNNNNNNNNNNNNNNNNNNNNNNNNNNNNNNNNNNNNNNNNNNNNNNNNNNNNNNNNNNNNACUCUUGAACAACAAAACAGAUCCAUGCAUAAUCCAAAUAUAAAACAAUACCAUUUCUAAUUUUUGGAUUGAUUUCCAUAGUGAAUCUAAUUACACCAAAAUGAAGAAGUUUGUGAUUGAACAUUGAAAGGCAAUGACACUUGCCAAAUGUUUUAAGCAAAGAUAGAUGUCACAACCCAGUGUGUCUGUCUUCCCAGAGGAUGAAAAGAGAACAUAUAUAUCUACGUACCUCACAAAAUUGCAAUAUUUUCCCAAAACAGAAAAAUGAGAGAUACUGCAUGAACACACUGCCAAUAAGAUACUUACCCAAAAUUGCAAUCCUUUUUUCCUUGCUUAUAUCACGAACUUUUACUGCAUGAACACACUCACUCAUCACAACACUACCAAGAAGAUAAAAACAUGCACAUCACAACACUACCAAGAAGAUAAAAACAUGCUCAUCACAACACUGCCAAGAAGAUAAAAACAUGCAAAGAGUCAUGCAUGCAAUGUGAGUAAUACAUAAAUGACUCAACCUCUCCAUGUCUUUCUAUUGCAUUGCAUAAAUUCUUGUCAAGGAAACUACAAACCAAACUUAAGAAAUGUUUUAAGAAAACUAACAAAAUGAUGAACUCAAGGCAGGGGUUGAUCCAAAAUUUGCUACACCAAAACAAAUCCAAAAUUAAUUCACUACUAGAAAACUAAAGAUCAAUAAUUCUCUCCUUAAUUUCAAUUACACCAUGUAAAAGGGUCAAAUUUCACUAUGAAUCCAGGACUGGUAAAAGCUAAGAGAAGCCUAAAUUACUUAGAAAUGGACAACUUAAAAAAGAGAGUAAAAAUUGCGAAAAAAAAUGCAUAAGGGGCAAUAGAGAAAGAAGCAAGAGUUCACUGACAAGUGGCAUGGCUGAACAGGGCAAGAAACAUAAACUUUUAAUGGCCAUGAUAUAUUUUCUUUAUCUUUUUUUCACAAUUAAUUCAGUACUUCAUAUUAAGUAGUUAAAAAUUCUGCCAGACAAAUCCUCCCCAAAUUACACGACCUCUAAACCCACAAGAACUGCCAGACUGCCAGUCAAACUACAAGGUUAGCAAUGAAUCCAACCAAAACUUAGAAUCCAAACAAGAAGUUUAGUCAGUCACAAAUAAAGACUCAAGAAUGGUAAGGGUAACAAAACCUAAAGCUUCACAAAUCCCCUGGGAUGUGUUUCCACAUCUUACCUCACAUAUCAGUCUGGAAAAAUAUGCUCUAUCUACAAUGUUUCAAAUAAAGGGGAGACAUCUUCCCUGAGCAUUUUAUUAUUACUAACCUAUGAUUUGCUAAAAAGAAUCAAACAAAAACAAUAUUCAAAUUUAUGUUUUUUAAUCCCUGCUGAAAAAGAACUAACACAAAGUUACAUAUGAUAGAUUUUUGUCAUCAAAUAAAUAACUACAUCCAAACUCAAGUAAGCAUCUCCUUCCAGUAUUUAGAUCUCCUACCUCACAUCCGUGGCUUGUUUUUCGUGUACACUAGCAGAUUUUAAUCCUUAACCGGUUUUACAUGCUAAAAAGAAAUGAACACAAACGAAUCAACACCUAGACAUAAAAAAUUUAAGAACUAUAUUUAAAUUCAAAUAGAUAUUGGUAAUAAAGACCAAGAAUUUAAGAAAGCAUAAGAUGAAUUGAAGGAAUAAAAAAACCAGAGAAAUUCAAAUAGUCAGUCCCAGUUAAAGACAAAAAUAUGUGUGGAUGCAAAGAAGAUCGAUAAUCAUGCAACACAAAUUAGGCAAGAACAUUGUUCCUUUGCACGAACCAAGUUCAAGUUCAAAAUUCAUUUGUCAAUGAAAGAAACUAAUAAAGUAUAUCUGACAGACACAUCAUAUAUUACAAACUUCAAUAAUCAACAAGAACUAUAUUCAAAUUUAUAUUUUUUAAUCCUCAACUGGAAUCAUGUUGAAAACGAACUAACGCAAGCACAUAAACGGUUACAUAUGAUAGAUCUAACAUAAAAUAAAUAACUACAUCCAAACUCAAGUAGACAUUUGUCAUGAAAGAAAGACAAAAAAUGUAGGAUAACAAAACCUAACGCAUCAAGGAUCUCCAUCCAGUAUUUAGAUAUCCUACCACACAAAGAAAUCAACACCUACACAUACAAAUUUUAAGAACAAUAUUUAAAUUCAAAUAGAUAUCAAUAAUAAAAACCAAGAAUUUAAAAAAGGAUAAGAUAAAUUAAUGAAUUCAAAAACCGGUGGAGCCUUAGUUGCUCAAAACACGCACGAUGAGGUAGAAGAUUCAACCCUUAGGCCUUAUAUAACAUACUCCAUGAUAUGGUGCAGGGCAUUAAGUGAAAAUAAUUCAAACAUCGAACACAAUUCAAUCCUUGGAGAUCAAGUAGAGAGAAAUUAAACAAUAGAGAGGAAACUCAUCAAGAAAUUAGGAUAUCCUGAGCUGCAGUCGUUUUAAACUCUUUUAGAGUUUAGGGUUUCAAAUAUCAAGUAGAAAAAAUUCAAUCAUCGAACACCAUUUAAUCCUUGGAGAUCAAGUAGAGAGAAAUUAGGGAAACAAAACAUAAUACUUCACAUCAUGUCCUACACUACACCACACAUCCAUUGCGUGCUUUCCCUGUACAGCCCAAAAAUUCAAGAAACGAAUUAGCUGUACAGCCAAAAAUUCAUGAAAACGAAAUAACCUCUUAAUAAAAAGAAGUAUAGAAAAAUGAUAAAAAUGAAGAUGCAGAUGCAGAUAAAGACUAAAAAAGACUUGGACAGUUACACAACCAAACACCACUGCAGACAAACACCAAUAAACAAAUCAUAAUCCAAUCCUUAUUUUCGGUGAUCAAUACCAGAUAAAUUAAAUAAUAGAAAGGAGACUAAAACAAGACUUGGAUCAAUUGGCCUUUCUAAACUAUUAUGUUUUUCAUUUCAUCGAUAGACAAAACAAAUCUCAAAACCAAGUCACCAGCAGAAAAGGGAUAAAGGAAUUUGAUCAAAAGAUUCAAAACUUGCCAUCAUCACAAAGAAUCACAUUCGGCGUAAAUGAAUCACAAUCCAAUAAAAGCACAUUAAUCACUUACAAAUAAUUUUUCUAUCCCACGACGCAAACAUCAUGUAAUUCUACAAAACCUUAUAGAGAAUCACAACAAUAACCGAAGCAAUACUAACAAAACUGAUCUUGGAUAUAUAUGUAAUACUAACCAAUGACUAAAUCUAAUAACCCAGCAACCAGAAACUAAAUCUAAUAACCCAGCAACCAGAAACACAGUGUUAGGGUACAAUCGAGAUGGAUUGAAAACGAAAGGAAAUGCAAAACUUACGAUGUUAGGGCACAAUCAAGAACACGGUCGUACUCCGGUCGCAAUGCUUGAAUGCUCAACAGAGAGAGUACUUCGGUCGCAAUGCUUGAAUGCUCAACAGAGAGAGUACUCCGGUCGCAAUGUGAGAAUGUUGUUGAUGCUGAGGAAAAGUGGAGUGAAGUGAGUAUUGCAUGGAGAGAAUUGCUUCAGAAUUGAAAAAUGAAAGAAGAAAAAGAAAAGAAGGGAUUAAAGUAAAGCAAAAAUAAAAAUUAAUUAUUUGUGUGUAAUUUGCAUGGGCUUAACCUUCUUAUUAUUUAAAUUUAAUUUUAAAACUUUUAACGUGGGCUUAACCUUCAAAUAUUUAAAUUUUAAUUAUUUUUAUAAUUUUAGUAGCUGCCAUUUCAACAACGCAACCAUUAUUAUUAUUUUUUUUUUGAAGUUUACGUGAGAAUAACACACGCUUUCCUCACACCUUAUUUAAUUUAUUUUAGGUUUAAUGGAUACUAUAUAGUGUCCACUUAUGGCCUUCAAUAUUUGUUUGCAGCUAAAUUAAGAUUUCUUUGUAAUGAAAUAACUUUUUUUUUACCACCAAAAGGAAUUUAGAAAAAACGAGAAAUUGAACAAUAAGAUGAACGAUGUGAUAAAGACCAAAUAAAAAUAUAUUAAGAAUAAAAUCAUUUUAGUGUUACUUAUAAAAGAAUAGUACACAUCAGAUUUCUCUGGUUACUGAUAAUAGAAUUUAUAUAAUAAAUAAAUUAUUCAUACGAGAUUACAUAAAACUAACUCAAAUUUAACCAUAGAUUGAUGACAGCUUCAUAUAUUGGAGUUUUUUUACGUGAAUUUUUUAUUAUUAUUAAGACUCUUAGGACCAAUCAAACAAUAGAACACAGUUUGAAGAGUCUUAUCAUGUACGCAACGAAGUACCAAAUAAAAUUUUGAGAUGUGUUACAACUAUACCUGGUAAAAGUGGGAUAGUCCAACCUCAUUAAACUCUUCAAGAAAAAAAUGUGAUCAUAUAGACUACUCCAUAAUUUCAACAAACACCAAUUUUCAGGUUUAGUUCCAUUCUAUAUUAUAACAUUUCAUUUUCACUUAGAAAAAAUAAAUUCACCUCCACACUUACAACUUUAUCUACUUAAACCAAUUUAAUCCAACUACGUGUUAAGAAUAUAAGUAUAAAUUUGAGUCUCAUUUAAUAAAUAUAAGAAGUUGAAUAACAAAUAACUAUGAAUAAAUAUAAAAAGUUGAAUAACAAAUAACUAAUCUUAAGUUUAGCACAAAACACAAUUAGUUCAACUAAAAACUUACAAAAAAUAUUGGAAGCAUCAAUGGAGCUUAUUGCAAUAAAAAAAAAUCUAAACAAAACAUUGUUUUGUUAAAAUGUGCAUCUAUUAGUUAAUAAGUUUAUUAUAAAACUUGUAUUGAUUUUCAUUUUCACUCAAAUUAUUUUAUUUUUUUAUAUCUUUAAUCAUGUAACGACAUGUUAUAUUCUUUUGUAGGAUAUCAUAUGAACCCGAGGGAUAAUUAAGACAAAGGUUUGGAUUUCUAAAAAUAAUAUUAAUAAUGCAAAUAAUAUUAAUAAUCUAAAUAAUAUUUAUAAAAAAAUUAUACUAGACAUUACAAACAUCUCACUUAUAUUGACAUUUCAAAUUUCAACCACCUCUAUUGAAAAAAAAAAUUAUUAAACAAGUAAAAAAAAAUACAAACAAGUACGAGAAAUUAAAACAAAAUCCAUACUAACCAUAAAAUACAUCAAAACUAAACAAGAGAAACAUAGUUAAUUUAUACCUAUUAUGGAAAAUGUUCAAGAAUAUAUUAAAAUAAUAUAUUAAAAUACAGUCUAUUAUACCAAAUAAAGUCUUACCUAUAAAGAAAGUCUAAAUUGACAGAUUUAUCAUUACCCCUCUUAAAAUAUGAAAGACAUACUUUUACAAUAAAUAAGACAUUUAUUUCAUUUAUUCUUAAUAAAUCAUCAAGUCACAUGAGUCAUAGAAGGAAAAGCAAAGCAAACUAAUAUGAUUCACACUCUUACCAUAAUAAAUUAUAAACCAAUGUAAAUAACAUUUAAUGAGGGAUAAAUUUUUUCAAUAAAUAAUAAUAUUUUUUAAUUUAUUUUUAGUUAUUUGUGAAUCUCAUUUCGAUUUGAUAUUUAAUUUGAGUGUCAUAUUGUCAUUAACCAAUAUUUAAUUGUUUUUUCUCUUAUUCUAUUAUUGUGUCAUUCCAUUUGGAGCAAUAGAGGGGCUAGUUUAGUGUAUGUGUUGGCAUUUGAUUUGUUCCUUUUCGGUAUGUUCGUACAAGGUAAAAUCGUAAAAAGGAAAAAUUAGAAAACUGUCUUGUUAGAGUAUUGUGUUAGCAUAAUAUUGAUCUCAAAAUAAGGUUAUUUUGUAUGUUAUUGUUUUAUAAAUCUCAAAACAAAUUUUGCAGGUUCAAGAAAAAGCUUUGGAAUAUGGAAAUUAAAUAUAAAUAUUUAUCAAAGAAUAGAAAAAUACUUCAAGUUAGCAUGUUCCUCAAUUGGAAUAUCGAUCUCAAAAUAAGUUUAUUUUUGUACUUCACUAUUUUAUAAAUCUCAAAAAAAAAUUGCAGGUUCAAGAAAAAGCUUCGGAAUAACAAAAUUAAAUUUAAAUAUUUAUCAAAGGAUAAAAAAAAAAUUAAAAAAAAAAUACUACGAUCAAGUUCAUUUUCUUGAAAACUUUACGAGCUCUAAAAUAAAUAAAAAAUACAACUAAUUAUUCAGAAAUUUAUGAACUUGGAAAUUUUUAAUUUUCAUUAAGAAUAAUUAUUUUUUAUGAUAUGUUAUUUGCAAUUAAUUAAUCUAGUAAAAAAUUACAAUCAAAUAACGAGACUAUUGAUAAAUUAAAAGGUAUUCGUUUAUUUUAUUUCUGUAAAUUAUAGGAAAAAUGAAUUUGAAAAUGCAUUGUCUUCUGCUAAAGAAAUUGCUUUUGAAAUAGAUACAGAGUAUAAGUUAUGUGAAAAACAUGGUAGAUCUGUUGAUAAUAUAAGUUAUGUGAAAAACAUGGUAGAUGUGUUGAUAAUGAAAUUCUAAAAUCUCCUAAAAAAUCAUUUAGAUUUUAUGACUUUCUAUACAUUCAAAGAAAACAAUUAACUCCAAAGUUGAUUUAAGAAUUCAAAAUAUAAGAAAAUAUGAAAAAUAUUUGAAGAAUAAUUUCGUGAUAUUGAUGGAUUAUAUUUAUUUUCAAAAUUUAAUAUCUUAAAAGAAAUGACAGAAUUGAAAAAUAAUAACUAAUUGACCUUCUAAAUCAUAUAAAAUAAAUAAAUUAUUUUCCAAAUAUAUAUAUAAGAGAGGGAUUACAGGUAAUAAAAUAAUAUAAAUAUUCUAGUACUACCAAUAUAAUCAAGAAAUUAAGGUGAAUGAGAAUUUAUAUUUUUUUUCUCCAAUCCAUAAAGAAAUGUUUUAAAAAAAAUCAUUAUAAAAGAUCGAUCUAUUAUAAAGUGGAUUUUAAGCUUAACUCAAUCCCAUAAAACUGGUUUAAUCCCAUAAAACUGGUUUAUAGGGUUGAGGAUUGCACCCACUUAUAUACGAUGAAAGACUCUAAUCUCUAGUCGAUGUAGAUUCCAACAUCAACCUCAAAUAAUAUUUCUUGUAAUUAAGAUCAAAACAGUAAACGAUUACAAUAUCGAUUGAUUUCGUUGAAAUGAUUUUUUUAAAACUAAAAGUUACUUAAUAUUAUCAACGAAACCCGAGGCUCACCUCUCCUUUGACCAUGUUAAUUCACAAUCUCUUUCACUAUGCCAUUAAAUGAGUUUGGAACAAGUUUUGUCUUUCUCACCGUCGUCAUGCUUCCCAAGGACCCAUUCACUUAACUCUUCGUGCGUUCCAAUGCAAACAAGUCAGGGUUUUGAUUUGCUUCCUACGAAUCCAAAAUUAGUAACUACAGAAUGUUGUUUGUUGUUGACUCUACAAAUUUAGGGUGGGAAAGAAAAGUUUAUAUCAUACUACUCCACUUCAUAUGCUACUUCAUUUGAUUUUUUUAUUGGUUGUUCUUUGAUGAAGUUUUUCAUUGCUGUUGAUGUUCUUGGUGGUUCUUUGGUCAAGGUGUCUAUUGCUACACGGUGUGUGGGUGAAUUUGUUGGUGACUAGAUUUUUUUGUUAUCAUGGGCUGGUGCAUAGUUGUACCUUUUUUUUUUCAUUGAAAAUUUAAUUUGUAUGGGUGAAAUCUAAACUAUAAAGAUGAUGAAAUUUGCUAAUUCUAGAAUACGUUGUGAUUUUGCAACUAUUUUAUUUUACUUCUACUAUGUGUGAAUUUAGUAAGGUUGAAACCAUCUUGAAAUCUUUUUUAUAUUUAUUUAAACUAUGAUUUGACUCUCGCUAUUUGUUUAUAUUUUAAUAUUAAUUAGGACUUAAUCCUCUUUAAGUUAGAGUAUGUUAAGGUUGCGACCUCUCUAGGUUAGAGUAAGCAAGGUCUUGAUCCUCUCUCUAAUUUAGAGUUAAAGUUUUCCAAUUUCCAAUAAACAACUCUUUUACGUUGUUAAGCCCACUCUAUUAACGAGAGUCCAAUCUACAUUAUUAGUUUCCACUUAGAGAGGACUUAUGAUUGUUAUAGGUUGACGUAAAUAAAAAAGUCAUUUUCAAUCCGUUCACGGUGUAUGGAACACUAUAUGUCCACAUUAAUUAUAAUGUAACGACUUCUUUUUCAAUUUUAGUCCAUCUUUGACUCAUGCUAUAGACAUUUUUCUUGUAAUUUGAUAACUUUGGAUAUUAGAAUGAGAAAUUUUUCUCGGUCAUCAUCCACUGAAUUUGAGUGUUGGAGUGACUAAUAACUCAAUUAAGGGAAACUUCAAAAUAUUAAUUCAUAAAUCACAUUUAUUAUAGAUAUAAAUGUAAAUUUGAGAAUAGGGAAUUAUGAUUGUAUUAAAAAAUAAAUAUUAUUUGUGUGUUUUUAUAACAUGAUUGAUAAAACUUACGUAACCAUUUAAAAUUAAAGCGAAAUAGGAUUAAUUGAGAAAUGUAUCGAUUAGCACAUGUAUGUUCUUUUCAACGGCUUUGGUGACCUAAUUAGAAAACGUCAAACUAUACUGGCAACCUAACUGGAAAACUUCAAACUAUACAGCCAUUCCAUUACUUGUGGAGUAAGGCAAAAAUGCCUUUGUGUUUACUUUUCUAGUAUACGUGCAAGUGUACAGGUCCACUAAUUUCGCAUAUGGUUCUUUCAUUGGCUUUUUAUUGAGUAUAGAUAUGAAAUAUAUUUGGUCCACGUCAAAAAGAAAAAGAAUUGAAAGCGAAACCAAAAAGCGAAAAAAAAAGUAGAAUUAGAAAAUUAAAUAAAUGUUGAAGUUAUUUGAUAAAAUAUAAAUAAUUAUGUUUUCUAUUUCAUUUCUCCUAUUGCAUCAUAUCACGUGACCUAUUUAUAUUCAUAUUGAUUUACUAGGAUUAAUAGUGUUGGAAAGGAAAUAUCAAUUUUGUUUCUUCUACAACUUAACAAUUAACUUAAAUGCUUGUUUGGUAUUGUUAUAAAUCUGAGACUUAGACUGAAAAGUGAAUUGUGAACUUAUGUUUAUUAUUAGAUUAAAAAGUGAGUUGUGAACUUAGGUUUAUUAUUAUAAAUUAUUUAUACUUAUUUUAUUUGUGUAGUAAGUUACGUGUGUUUUUAUUAGUUGAAUGGUGUUGGUUAUUAAUUAUGAUUUCUAUUAUUAAUACUGAUUUCACCGUUAUACCGUUAUUGUUUCAUUAAUGGUUAGUUUACUUAUUUCCUUCCAUUAGUUUCCUACAAUUGGUAUCAAGAGCUAGUCUGUUAUCAUGAACUCUACCCAAUUACUAGUCCUAUGGAAAAAAUUACAAUCAGUGGUGUGUGCAAAUGAGAGUUUUUUUUAUUAUUUAUUAUCAUGAGUUAUGGGAUGUCGUUGAGGGUGGAGUGGUUGCAUUAGCUGUUAAUGCAAUUGAGGCGCAACGAGUAGCGCAUCAUGAUGACAAUAAGGCUUUGUAUCUCAUCCAUAGGGAUGAAUGACAAGACGUUUGAGAAAAUAUAAGGAGCAACAACUGCAAGUGAUGCUUGAAUCAUUUUGUCAACCAAUUAUAAAGGGUGAUGACAAGAUCAAUAGGGUGCGUCUUCAAACCCUAAGACGCCAAUAUGAACUGUUGCAGAUGGAAACCACAUAGAUUAUUGAUGUCUAUAUAAAUAAAGUUCUUGCCUUGACAAAUCAGAUGAAAAGCAAUGGUGAAACACAUUCGGAGCAGGCAAAGGUGGAGAAGAUUUUGAGGUCUUUAACUCCCAGAUUUGAACAUGUUGUUGCCGCAAUUGAAGAGGCCAAUGACAUUUAAAAAAUGACAGUAGGGUUAUUGUCUGGUUACCUACCAGCGCAUGAGCAGCGAAUGAAUGACAAUAAUAUUGAAAAACCAAUUGAACAGGCUUUACAAGCACAAGACUCAAUUGGUAGCUCUUAUCAUAAACACGGUAGUUCACGAGGCAGAGGACGGGGACAUGGUGGUAGCUAUUCCAGCAAAGGUCGUGGUGGCUAGAAUCAUGGAGGCGCUGAGCAAAAUAACAUUGGUUUCAAUCACAUUCCAAGUUCAAAUAACUCUUGACGUGGAGAACGUGAUCGCGGAGGAUGAGGAGGCAUUUAUAAUAAAUCAAAUGUGGAGUGUUAUAACUGUCAUAAACGCAACCAUUAAGCAAAUGAGUGCAGAUCAAAAAGUGAUAAUCAUGCUGCCAAUUGUGCUCAAGAAGACAGUAAUCACGUACAAGAUGAAGAGGAUCAUGCAUAACUAAUGACAGCCACAUCAAAUGAAACUCCAAACAAUCAGACUUGGUAUUUGGAUACAGGUUGCACAAAUCAUAUGUGUGGUCAAAAGGAGUUGUUUGCAUAUUUGGAUGACUCAUUUUGCACAAAAGUGAAAUUCGGUGAUGGCAGGGUCGUUCCGGUGACUGGAAAAGGGCGAAUUCUUAUCACAUUGAAGAAUGGUGAUCACAGGUACAUAUAUGAUGUUGUCUAUGUACCUGAUAUGAAAAGUAAUUUGUUGAGUAUGUGACAACUGGCUGAGAAGGGUUAUGUGAUGUACAUAGUUGAAAAUAAAUUCUCAAUUUUUGAUAAAAAAUGUAGUUUGAUUCUUAAAACCUUUUUAUCAAAAAACCGUAUGUUUCCAGUAGAUAUUCAUAUGGGUGACUUCAAGUGCUUGAAUGCAAUAGUGAAUAAUGAAUCGUGGUUAUGGCAUUUACGCUUUGGGCACUUAAAUUUUCAGAGUUUGGAAAAUCUCUCCAAACGAAAUUUAGUGAAUAGUUUACCCCAUAUUUAUCACCCUGAUCAAUUGUGUGAGACUUGCAUUUUUGGAAAGAAUCACAGGAUACCAUUUGUUAAGGAGCCUUGGCGUGCAAAAUUUCCUUUGGAGCUUGUUCAUAUAGAUGUUUGUGGCUCAAUGAACAUAUCAUCAGUUGGAGGUAAUAAGUAUUUUUUAACCUUUAUUGAUGAUUUUUCAAGGAAAACCUGGAGUUAUCUAUUGAAAAGCAAGGAUGAGGUAUUCCACUGCUUUAAAAUAUCAUAUUUAAAGCAUUUGUUGAAAGACAGAGUGGCAGACAAAUUAAGAUGAUGCGUAGUGAUGGAGGGGGUGAGUACAAGUCUAAUGAGUUCAAGAGGCACUGUGAAGAACUUGGAUUGCAACAUAACAUAACAUGUCUCUACACACCUUAACACAAUGGAGUUGUCGAGAGAAAGAAUAGAACAAUCAUGGACAUGGCGUGGAGCAUGCAUAAAGCGAAAGGUAUGCCAAAUUAUUUUUGGGCUGAGGUCGUAACAUGUGCGGUAUAUUUGAUAAAUAGAUCACCCACUCGGAGUGUUCCUAACACAACUCCGAUUGAGGCAUGGAGCGGAUUCAAACCCAAUGUGCAACACUUGAAGGUAUUUGGGUCUAUUACUUAUGCUCAUGUCCCCAAAGCAGCAAGAUCGAAGUUGGAUGAUAAGGCAGAGAAGACCAUUUUCAUUGGAUAUAAGCAUGGGGGAUACAAAUUGUACAAUCCAAUGACAAAGAAGGUGAUUGUUAGUUGUGAUGUUACAUUUGUCGAAGAUGAGGAAUGGCAAUGGAAUGCAACAGUUGAAAUUGAUUAAAAAAAAACGAUAUAUUUACGUUUUGAACGAUGAUGUGGAAGAUGGAGUCACUCUUGAAGCACCUGCAGUUCAACCAGAAGCUGCAAUUCAACCUGAAGUUGCAAAUCCAAUUGCAACUAUGAUGGAGCGACCAAGAAGGCAGCAACGACAACCUGUACACCUUCAAGAUUGGCGAAGUAAAUCUUGAUGAUGAAGUUGAUGACAAUGGAGAUUUGGUUCACUUUGUUUUUCUUGCAGAUUCAGAACCCAUGAGACUUGCAGAUGUCAUUCAACACCCCAAAUGGCAGAAGGCUAUGAAUGAAGAAUUGAUGGCGAUUGAGAAAAACAAUAUCAUGACUCAAAUUUGUUUUAAUCCAGAUAUUCCAAUUAAGAUUUAUGUUGACAAUGUCUCUGCAAUUAAUCUUGCAGAGAAUCCAGUUUUUCAUCAAAUAAGUAGUCACAUUGAUAUUCGAUAUCACUUCCUGCGAGACCAAGUUAAGAAGAACAUGAUCAAAUUGGAAUACUACAGAUCAGAAGAUCAGAUUGCAAAUAUUUUCACUAAGCCAUUGAAGAUCAAUGCUUUCAUCAAGUUAAGAAAUCUGUUGGGUAGGAAGGUUGCUCCAAAUCAGAAUUAAGGGAGGAUGUUGGUUAUUAAUUCUGAUUUUAUUAUUAUUAAUUCUGAUUUUAUUAUGCUUAAACUAUUUUACCGUUAUUAUUGCAUUAAUGGUCAGUUAGUAUUCCUAUUUUAUAACUUCCAGUAUUUGUAAUUUUAUUAUAUAUAUUAUAUAUAUUAUUGAGUAAAUCAAAAUAUAUGAUACCAGCUCAACAGUUUUGCAAUCUUGUGCAAUUACCUUCAAUCAGUUUCUACAACAUUUUGCCUUCUCUUAUUUCCUUCAAUUAGUUCCUACAAAUGAGAAUAUAAUUAAUAUAAUUAUUUAAUAAGAAACUUAUAUACCACCUCAAGUUAUUUUGGAGUCAAAAUAUUAUAGGAAUGGUUAUCAAUGAAUGAUUUACUAAAAGUGGUAAAUUUUCUUGAGGUUUUAUGAAUGUGAAACCUAAAUAUGUAAAUUUUGAUAGUCAAAAGACUAAUCCCUUUAAGAAUUAAUAUAUUUCAAUAAAAGUGAUUGGAUAUGGUUUUAGUUUGGAGUCAACAACUUAAAGAGACUUGUGUCAAUGUGUAAUCUAUUCUAAUCCACAUAGGUUGAACUCCUAUUAAGGAUACAUAAAUUUUUAAUCUGAUCAACAAGCUAAAGAGAUUGUAUUAAAAAUAUUUCAGUAGUCUAACAGUGGUUGCGAAUUCACGUGAUAUGUGUAGCUCUCAAAGUAAAUAACUUGUUUUCCAAGCUAUCCAAAGAGAUCAAUAUACUUGUCUCCCAAGAGAUUUAUUACUACCCAUGUCAUUUAGACACAAAUAUUUAUGAUAUUGGUAAAAUUAAAAAAAAAUAACUUUACCUACAAAUAGUUAAAAUAUUUGAAAUAAGUGAAGUAAAUGAAUAAUAUAAAUUUAUUCAGAGAUUAUUUAUUAUGAUAAACCUAAUUUAUUUUAAAAGAAUAUAUGACUAAUACAUUUUUUACUUACUCAAAUAUAGUUUAAUUUAUUUUAAAAAAAAUCCAAAAGCUAAAACUUUAGAACAUAAUAUUUUAAAUGUUUUACUUUACACGUGUAAUCCUUAACUAUUUAAAUGUUAUACAAUUAUUAUAGAUAUAAUAACUAUUUUAAAGAAAAUAUUUUAUUUAUUUUAUACAUUUUUCUUACAACAACAAAAUAAAAACCAUAGAUAAAUCCCACUCUUUUAGUGUUUUUUUUUUCUUUCUCUUUUCUCAAUUUGCCAAUUUGCCGUCAUUGUUGAAGAUCUCACCCACUAAUCAAAGUCAUAUUUGAUGUGAAUGUUCUCUUCAAUUCAAAGUUUAUCUUAAUAUUAUGCUAAACUUAGACUUAGUCUAAACCUUACUGACUUGAUUUCAACUUUUCUUUAUAUUUCUUCUUUUUAUACAUAACUUUUCAAACUUUUAAUCUUACACAAAAAGCAUGUCAUUCUUCUCUGACAACAUUUUAUUUCAAUUUUUCUUGAUGGUGUGCUUCAUUUGAAAUUUCAUUUUACUUUAUAUUUCAAUUUUGCUCAUAAGUUAUGAUUGGAGUUUAUUCUAAUUUUUUCCAGUGUCUUAAUAUUUUUCCAUAGUGUGUUUGAUUUUUUAAUUUUCUAUGCAAAAAUUAGUGUUAAUAAUUGUGUCUAACUUUUCUUGUACUCUGUCCUUUAGUUUGAAUGCUUCAUCCUCUGUUCUGCUUCUAAUUUUUCUUAUAUUUUAUCCUGUGUUUUGAAUGCUUAAACUUUUACACUUGUUUUAACCUGUUUUGCUAUUAAUUGUUGUUUACUUGUUGUGAUAUAAGGUUUGCGUGAUUAGUUAGUUGAUGGCAUACAAGUAAUGAAGAACUUUUAAGUAACACAGUUAGUUAAUACUCAAUUAUUAAAAUAUUGCAAGACAUUUCUUAAAAGUGUUUUAUGUUUUAUGUAAUUGUAUUUACCUAUAAUGAAGUUGAUAGCGAAAGAAAUAUUUAAUACUUUUUUUUUCUUUUUUUUUUCUUUUGGAAGGAAUCGAGGGAUACAAACUAUAUCUUCAUAUAUGGAAAAUUAAUUUAGUUAUAUCAGUUGCUAAGUGAAGAUCAAGAUCAUUUGUUUAUUAGUGUGUACGUAUUGAUGUGUUUUGGGAUUAUUAAAAUUUGACGUGUUUGAUAAAGAGUGAUUUAUUCAUAAGUAAACUAUGUUUUGGGAUUAUUAAAUUACGUAUUGAUACUUUUAUUUUCGUGAGGGGAAUGCAUGUGCUGAUAAGUUGACUAAUUUAGGGUUCAUUCAUAGAUAAUCAUUUUAUUGGUAUAAUAGACUUCUAUCUAGUAUGUUCUUAGAAUUCUUUAUGAAUAGGUAUAGUCUACCUAUGUAUCGUUUUUGUUAACAUGUGAGUUUUGGUCUAAUCCUCCCAUAUUUUGGUAUUUUUUUUCUUUUUUUUAAUAAUAUGUUUUUCAUGUGAUGGCAGAUGAUUGUUGUUACUUGAGGUGUCAGCCUAGCUGAGAUGUCAAGUUGCAUAAUGAUGUCUAACAUGGAAAAUUUUAUAAAAAAUAAAAAAACAAAAAAAAACUAUGGUUUUUGUUAUUGAGAAAUUGUUUUUAAGAAAGUGUUGAUUACAAAUUACUAUUUUUUUUAAAAAAAAAUUGUUUUGAACAUCGUAACAUCUUUUUAAUGAAAAAUAUUUAUUGCAUAUAGGGGCUUUUAACAAGUUUGGAAUUGAGUGGAAAUUGGUGUUGGUUUAUGUUGCAAGUUGAUGGUUGAAUCAUAUUCAUAGAUAGAGUUGGUACUUUUUAAUAAUGUAAUUUAGUAUAUUAUUGAUAUUUUAAAAUGAUAAAGAGUGUGUGUAUAAUCUCAAUAAUAUAUGAUUUAAAUGUAUUAAAAAUUGAACUUUAAACAUAAAUCAACUUUAAAAAAUCGACUCAUAAGUUAAGGUUUGCACUUACUUAUAUAUUAUGAAAUGUUUUUAUCUUUGGUCGAUGUAGGAUUUUCAACAUUUCCCUUCACGUCAAGAUCUAUCAAUUCGUGUGUGAAACUAUAUAUUUAUAGGUGGUCAGAUAGCAACCGACCUUAUAAGUCUAACAAACUCUCAUUAGGAUAAACUGUAAAUGACUCUAAUACCAUAUUAAGAAGUGAAUUUUAAGCUUAAUUCAAUUUUAUAAAAUCAAUUCAUAAGGUAAUAUUUACACUCACUUAUAUAAUAUGAAAUGUUUUUAUUUCUAGUCGAUCUGAAAUCUCGAACAAAAUGUGAAAAUAUUCAAUUUUACAAGUAUGAUUAUUAUAAUUAUUAAAUAGGAGAGAUAUGAUUAUUAAGAUCUCAUUACUUGUAUUAUAAAAAAAACCCACGAACUAAAUUUUGUAUUGAUAAAAACUUGAGGAUUGUGGUUGAAAAGGCAGAACAAUUGUAAGAAUUAUCUUUUCAAGCAUAAUACAAAGUAUUUCUUUGUAAUUGAUAAAAAUUUAAACUGACACAUCAAAUAUUUAAAUUAUAUUAUUGAAAAUGGGUUCAUAGAUGAUUUAAAGAAGUAUAUGGUACAAGUUGAAAAUUUAAGAGGUUUUAAAGCAAUAAUAAUCAUAAAAUUUGGAGGAAUGACGUCCAUUCAAAAGUGAUAGGAUGAAAAAAGAAAGACAUGUAUGUUGUUUUAAUAGACUUCCACCAACUAAAUAUUUAAAUAUCUCAUCUCAAAAUUCUAUAACAGAGAAUAAGAUUAACAAUUUAGAAAAGAUUUUUAAAAAUCUUUUAUCUUUUCUUUAGAAAACAUUUUUAAAAAUCUUUUAUCUUUUCUUUAGAAAACAUUUUUAAAAAUCUUUUAUCUUUUCUUUAAACAUGAUGAGUGGUAAUUGUUCUUGCCAACAAUGUGGAAUCACAUCUUCAAGGUAGUCUCCGAACAAUCUUUCGGUAUUGUAGUCCUUGAGUGCUUGAAGAUCACCAAGUGAUGAGGGGAGCUCCACUCGUUGACAAGACUUCGACAAUCAAAUCAGUGAGAACAUUAAAUAUUUCAAUGUAGUAUGUAUUGCAUAGAAUAAUACUUGUCUUUGUUUGGGGACUCAUGACCCUUAUAUAGGACUCGUAGAUCCUUUUUUAGGAGUUUGUAAUCAGACACUUCCUUUGAACUUUUAGUUACACGAUUCGAUUUGUUGGACUCGAUCCGACUGACCCGAAAACGUCUAUUGAGUCCGAUCCAUUGGACCGAAAACACCCGAUCCACAUUAUCGGGUUCUACCCCGAUCUUGACUGAACGAUACAGUAAUAUACAAAUUGUAAAUAAAAAAUAAAAAAUAUAGUAAUUACAUUUAAUCAUCUAUAAAAAAAUUUAAUACUAAUAUGAUAUUUUAAAAAGAUAUUUUUUUCGGAAACACUUGAUGAUGAUGGAAGGAUUGAAAUUAUUCUAAUAGUAAUGUUUAAACACAGUAAAAAAAAGUCAAGUGAUAUGAUAAUGAUUGAAAAUUUACUUUUAAAUACAAUUAUCAUUUUUUACUAUAAGAUCAAUUUUUUUAAUGUGAUUACAUAUAUUUUAUAAAUGAUGUGGAUUUUUAUGGCCUGUACACAUCAUUAAUGAGUGAGAUAAUAUGUUUAAUCAUUUGCCAUUUAAUUUUUAGUACUUUCAAUGAACAAAUGAGAUUCAUAUGUAAGAAAUUUAGCAUCGAUUAUGACUCAUAGGACACAAAAUGUAUUUCAUUGAGUUGAGUGUGGUAUUUCAAUACCUAAUUAAUAUUUUUUUUGUCAUUAGUAAUUUGGUAUUGAUUUAAAAUCGAAAUUGUUGUUGACUAUUAAGAUUUAUUUGCUUUUGUAACUAUUAUGUUUUCCUCUUAUAAAUUUUGUUUAUAUUUUAGAUUAUAAAGUUGUUGUAAAACAUUGCAAAAACUUUUCUUAGUGGUUUUUAUCUAGUACAAUCAUUUAUAUUUUAGUGGACUUUUAUUGAAUUGAAUACACCCUACUCCAAUAGCCUAUGACGAGUCACACAAAUUUCAUUUGACAACAAAGAAUCUAUAGGGACAAAAAGUGGAACUUAUAGAGAAUCUUUAAAUUCAAAUUGAUAUUUUGAAUAAGUGAACAAAAAGUUAAACCCAUUUAUUAUAGCCAUUGUUUCCAAAAAUAUUUAAUAGUGAAUAUUUGAGCAAAUAAUGUAGAAUGUAUUAUAGCUAAAGACAAACAUCAUAUUAUUGUUUGGUACACGGAAAAUGUUAUAUUAUCACAAUUAUCGGUAUAUAUUAAUAAAUUUAUUCUCAAAAUUUUAACUAAUAAAUUUAUUCCACCAUUUUAUACAUGGACUAUAAUGAUAGAUUGUUAAAUGCCCUUAAAAUUUUACAUCACACUUUAUAUAGUAAAAAUAUUAUCAUGAUAUCUAUUACAAUGAAAGAAUGACAUAAACAAAAAUAUUUUGGUAUUAAAAUAUUAACGAAAAAUAAUAAAUUAUAUGGUAUUAUUAGUAAAGUAAGGAACUAAAAAUUAUUGAAGUUUUUGUGGAAUAAACUCAUACGGAAUAAUAUGUCAAAAAAAUUAAUUGAACUUAACAAUUGUUUUUUAUUAGCUAUAAGAAUGAAAUUAAUAAAGAUAUAUAUUUUAGAGAUAUAUUAACCUUAUACAAAAUCAUCAUUAUCAAACUUUCAUCUUGCAUUAAGUCUAUAAUGAUAUUAUACUCAAAACAGAUUAAUCAUACUAAAAACCACAACAUAAUCUAUUAAUCCAAACUUCUUAAAAAUGAUGUUCUUCUCAUAUUGAAUAUAUAGUUUUUAUUGAAGUUAAUAGUAACUCAUCAUGAUUAAAAAACAUGUUGUUUAGAGUUAAUUUUGUUUGAUAGACAAUUAUAUCAUCUAACUAUAUUACUUUAUUGUGUAAUUCCACUAUAUUGAUAUAAGUCUCAAUUUGAUGUACGGGAAAAGAUAGAAAAGAAAGAAAUGGGAGGAGUACAUUUGUUUAGUUAAUUAAAAAAGCUAAAUAAAUAUGUUUAAAAAAUUGUGAAACUGUGAAGUAUAUGAUAAGAAAAUCUGAACUUGUAAAUAUUUAUAACUAAAGUCUGCAAAAAGUAUAAAUAUUUUAAUUAUUUAUUUGUUAAAAGAGUGAAUAUGGAUAUCAUGCUAUUUAGUUAGCGAAUGUUCACUGUCCAUUAUUAAUUAUUUUUAUUUGAAUAUAUUUUUUAAUUAAGCAAUUGAGUAAAAUUAUUAACGAGAAAACAUUAAAAAUUGAUGAAUUAUUUAUAACUUAAUUUUAUAAAUGUAUAGUUUUUAUUUAGACUUGUGGAGCUAAAAUUAUCUUCAAAAGAUUAAUUUUAUUUAAAGUUAUAUUGUGAAGAAUUUUUUUAGAAUGAUUAAUUUUUUUCUAAUAAUAGCUUAUGAAACAUUUUUAUUAUAAUUAUACAUUAAUAUCAAUAUUUUAUCUUAUUUUAUUUUAUGUUUUAAAGAAUAAUUUUUAAAUAAUAUUAUUUUCUUAAAAGAAGGAUCCACGUGUAUCUAUUGAAAUAGGCAAGUAUUUUAAAUAACAUUAUAUUUUUUUAGUAGAAAUACUUCUUCAUAAGAUUUAUUUAUAAAUAACAAGUCACUUUAGAUAUGGUUAUCUCCUACUUCCAUAUCAAUGUAGACUCUUAUAUGUGUGACGUCAUUUAUUAUGAACUUGAAAUGUACUAUCUUAAGUGUAUCCUAUAGAAAACACCAUCACAUUCAAGUCAAAUAAUAUAAAAAUUAAGUAAUAAAUGAAUAAUACAUAUUUUGAGAUCUUCACCAUUAACUUUUAUUUAUAUCGAGUAUCGGUGGUUAAAUAUGACUUUAGUAUUGAGUUAAGAUUUUAAUAAUAAAAAUAUAGUGUAAGGGAAAAUAAUGUUAAUAUUUUAAUACUUUUGCGUGUUGAAAGAAAGAAAACAAAUCUAAAAAUAACUAUAGUUUAAACUUCGUUAAUUUUAAUAAAAAGCAUCUUCAAAACCGUAUUUAGUAGUAUAUAUAAUUGUAUUAUUUCCAGUUAUUUAUUUUAUUUUGUAGAUGCUUUCUAAAUUUAAAGGAAGAACCCAGACUUUAACCAAAACAUAUUUCUAUCCAAAAUAAAUGUAUGGUUAUGGGAAAAAAUAGCCUACAAUUGAUCAUACAAUCCAUUCAUUAAAUAAUGGAGUACAAUACAAUGUGCUAUAAUGAACCCAACAACGUCUUGUUCUAGGUUUUGUAUAUUCAGUCAUUGAUUUCUAAAUUUUUAUAUGAAUGUUUACAAUAAUAUUUCAAGGUCAAGUUAGUACUUCCUCCGAAUAAAGAAUAUAAAGUAAAAAAAGUUAAGAAUUCAUUAAUUAAUACUUAGUUUGAAGAAAAAACAUAUAAUAAAAAGUUAUAUAUUUAUUAUUUUCAAUUCACCUAUUUAUAACGGUAUUCUUCUAGUUAAGAAGAAUGUCUUCCAACUAAAGAUUUAGUUUAGUCAAAAAUAGUUAUUUCCAACUAAAUUGUAGUUCUGUCUCAUACCAUCAUCUUCCUCUUUUAUUUAAUAAUUAUUUCUCUAUUAUAGUAUUUGUCUCAUUCUUAGAUACAUUCUUAGAUUAAUUACAAUCUCGCAUAUUCAGUUAAUGUUUGUCACUUUCAAUAAAAAAAAUAAAAAAAAAUUUCAUUAUUUUAAUAAAUAGAUCAAUAUCAUAACCGUUUUCAUCUAUUAUUGGAAUCGACUUAUGAUCUCACAGUUCUCAAAUUCCAACAUAAUCCAAUGAGACUAAUAAGAUCAUGAAGUAAUUAAUUAUAGGAUGUAUCUUAAAUUUUGACUGAAAUCCAUACCAUUGAGGUUGAUGCAAAAGUUCACAUAUACUAUUAUACCUCAUCUAUAGAAAUGAUUAAUUGAGAUCCAAAUAGACUUAGAUGCGCUUAAUCAUAAUUUAUAUAUUGUUUACUUUACUCUACUUAUUAAUUAUAUUAUUACACCCUUAAUUUCACUUUAGAGAUACUUGCAUCAUUCAGUGGUGAGAUGUUGGGAUAUCGAGUGUGAUAUCGACACCUCAUAUAUUCCGGUACAAUGCAUUUGAGGAAAAUAAAAACCGAUCAUAUGUAUAAUUUUUUGUUUUCUUCCAUGCUUGGUUGUCACUUAGGUCAAUUCAGCACGAACCAACAUACUCCAUUUCAUCUUCUCAUAAAUCGAAGACAAUAAUUCCAGGAAAUGAAAAUGGGGUAUGUUAAUAAAGAAAAAAAAUAAGAGAAAAUUGCACAUAAAUAAAAUUCAAUUGAGUUCUUAAAUUACAAUGAUAUUGAAAAGAGUAGAAAUAUAUAGUUAAUUUGGUGAAUAAACAAAGUAGGUUGGAAAAAUGCGAUGAAAGCAUGAUAAGAUAGUUGUGGUUGUCUGUGGAAAUGCGAAACCCCUCUUUCUUGUUUUGUUUUGCACAUAUUUUACAAGCAAAUCCGACAAACAGAAAGAAUUGCAUAAGUCCAAACCUACUGGUAUUAUUUAGACGUUAAUAAUUGCCAGCUUUUGCCAGCUCCUACUUCAUCAUUAAAAUAUAAUUUAAAAAAAUAGACACAGAAACAGUAGUGAAGACUUUGCUCCUCAGUCCCAAAAAAUGACAACGGGAUACACUGGAUUUCCACACUUUCUCACAUGCUCGUCUUUUUCAUUUUCUGCCACGUGUAUUGUAAUGUAGCAAGGUCCCUCUGGUUCCAGCUGCGCAAACCUCACUCUCUUCCUUCAUCAUCAUCAUCAUCAUCAUCUUCUACCACUACAGCCACAAUAAACAUGCAUACCGUAUUUUUUCUUUUCAAAUAUUAUACGUAUACUUUUUGAUAUUUUAUUUCCGUUUGAGUUGAGUAGUUGUUCUCCAUUUGCAACGGUUACCUAAUAUUAUUCUCUGUUUCCAUCUACCCCAUUAUCAACUACGUAUUGCAUAUAAAACAUUAGCGAUAAUGAAAGAAAGGGUCAUGUAUCUGCUUUCUCAAUCAUUAAUGCAAAAUUACCGAAUUUAAUGAUGUUACCAUUACGAAUGGAGAAAGGGUCAAACCAAAAAUAAAAAGUGCACCUUUUCAACUGGCGGACAAAGGACGAGACACGAGUGGCAUCAACGCGGGUAAAGCACCCCGCGUUUUACUACCAGACGGAACCCAUCAACGGGCUAUAAAGGACACACGUGUGAGUUCUAGAUCAACGGUCAAAACACAAGGGCACUCUAGUAAUAUCGUUAAACGACUUUAUGAGUUGUUGAAAAGUUAUGGUCUUUCCGAGGAAAGAAAAAGUAAAAAAUAAUAAUAAAAAUGGAUUUUUUUUCAUUAUUUUCAUAGUACACAUUUUGUUUUCAUUAAUGGAAUUUUAAAUUGUAUUAUUUUUUGUUGUUAGAACAAACAGAGGGCUAGAGUGAAAAUAAAUUUAACGGGGAGAGGAGAGAGAGUGGGAAGCAUAUGAGAAUAGGAAGAUGGGUGGAAAAAACGCCGUACAGAGGGGUGGCGGAUGACAGCGACUGCUCACUGACCCACAUAACUGACACGUGUCCUGACGCAAAAGGGUGUGGAGGUAAUAUUGAGCAAGCAUAAUGGAGAAAAAGGCAAAGAAGGAACACACAUUAACAAAAAUCAAUUGGGCAGAAGAUCCACAUAUGCCAGCUAAUAUUUUGCACAUUUACAGAAAGAGAGGAAAAAUUGUAGUAGAGGCGGAAGAAAGUUGAAAUGAAGAUAAAAUAAAAAAAAAGAAUAAAGAAUAAAAAAGUGGGAAUGGAGAGUUAAGUGUUGACCCAUUAUUAUUACUCACAUCACACCGGCCUGACCUAGUCCAGGGUAUUAGGGAAGAUGAGGAAUGGGGACAGGCAGCAUAGAAGGAGUAGAUGCACAUCACAACAUAUAAAAAUAUUAAUAUAUAUAGUAAGGUUGGGAAAAUAAUGAGAUAAAAAAAAUUGUGUGUGAGCAUAUAGAAGGAAAUUAAAUUAGGACAUUGGAGUUGGAGGAAUCUUUGAGCAUUAUUGAUGCAUUAAUCGCCACUCCUUCAACGGUUCAUAUCUUACCUCUUUUUAUAUAUUCUGUUCCCUUAUCAUCUUCCACUGCUCAACUCUCUCUCUCUCUCUCUCUAACACAAGCUUCCGUUUUUCUGUUUCUCUUCUCUCUACUCAGAACAUGGGUUCUUCUGCAGUACAAUUGUUUCUCAUCUUGGGGCUUCUGGCUACUUCUUGCAUAGCACAAGCCCCAGGUGGCGCACCCACGCAGCCUCCCACAACCACCCCACCACCACCGCCCGCAGCAGCACCAGUACCUGCACCCACUGCACCCGCAACUCCACCACCAUCUUCACCACCACCUGCACCCACACCCGCACCCACACCAACUGCUCCCACUCCUGCUCCAGCUUCUUCUCCUUCAUCUGCUGCAUCUCCCUCAGCUGAGUCACCAGGCUCUCCUACAUCUCCCCCAGCACCACCGGCCCCCUCAUCUGCACCUUCACCCUCAGUCAGCGAACCACCACCCUCACCCUCCUCCGCAUUCUCCGUUGGCAAGGCCUUCGUUGCCGGGUCUGCGCUCGCGGGAACCUUCGUAGCCAUGGUCUUGGCUUGAAGACAGACCUGACGGUUGGGAUUCGUCCACGUGGAGGCUCUUGGGCCCUUGAUCUUGUUUUACAGCGACGGACGGACGGACGGGAUCUGUUUCAUUUAUUUUAUCCUCUGGUCUUGUUGAGUAGCGGUUUUCUUUUUCUCUCUUUGGGGUUUUAUGUGUUAGUUUUGUUCGUUCGUGGUUGAUGUGUUUGUUGAUUCGAUAUCUGGGAGGGUUGGGUGUUGAUGAUGAUGAUGAUGAUGAUGAUGAUGGUGAUGGUAUUCAUGAUUAUGAUGAUUAUUUUGUGAUUCAUUGUUCUGGUGUUCACACGUGUACGUAGAUGACCUUGAUGAUUUCAUUGUACAUCUAAUAAUUGAAAGAAUAAAACAGUUUGUCAUU